UUUGCGAUACUUUACCGAACGCACGGAUUCUGGGUCAAAAACCAUCUAGCUUCGUUUGCAGGCUGCGCAAUUCGAGCGACGACCAUAAUGUACAGCCUAUGUUCGGGCUGUUUUUCAAACAAACUUCUGAGAACUUGCUGUAUCGUCCGAUUAUUUUCUAACCGUUACAGACAACGAUGUAGCUACUCUCAUAGUGAAGGAUUUUACUUUGCGGAAGGUUACCCGUGACUAGACUAAACAGAUAAGCUGACAGAAGGCUUUCUUCAGCAGGGAAUGUAUGCAGUUGCAAUGUGCGCUAUAAAAGCUGCAGGAUAAAGCGCGUGAAGAGUGGUUUUGAAGUAGUGUUAACCAAUCGUGCCGCGAUCUCUCCGCCUAUUGCUUUUUCCGAAGUUAAGGAAGCCGUAUCGGGUCAUAGCGGCAACCAGAUCGUUUGAUACGAGAGAAUCGCUAGGUUGGAGACCUCAUUAUUGUCGCAGUGAAUGAAUGGCCUCAGGGCGUGAUCGGGCUGUUGCGACAUCAAAGUCCUACUCGUUCGGACCGCCGACGGAAACGGCAGGGACGUCACAGUAUGCAGUUGCGAAAAUGUAAAGAGAUCCGAAGCGGAGUGGAACAGGGAAUACGUGCACAACGAUGAGAAAAGGCCAGCCGGUACUGGUGCAAAACAUCCCCCAGCGCACCUCACCAGUAGUAGUUCUGGCCGGCUGCGAUUCAAUCCUGAAUGAACCUGUCAGUGGGACGGCCUUGGAACUUGAGGGGGCGAAUGAGUUCCUGUGCGAGCAUGGAAGGACAGUAUACCGGAUACCCGCAGACGAGCCGUCUGGUCCAACGUACUCCGCGCCUCAUGCACUCAUUCUCUCUCUCCCGUUUUAUCACCCACUAUUAGCGUAUGAGAUUGACGAUUCCACACUCCUGCCAACUGCGUAAAUGACAGGUAUAUUGGCAGGCUUGAACAUAGAUUUACUCGAAACAAAUAAACUGAUAUAAUUGACGUGGUUGGACAAUCAAAGUUAACUAUCAGUUUCCCCAUUAUUAUGAUUAUCAGAAUGAUAAUCGCGAUGAGUUAGUUUUUUAUCAGCGGCGAAACUCGUUUUUCCAAAGGUCGUAGGAGAUCUGCUAGUGACGGUUGCCACUUUGACGGUUCAAGAUUUUCUGGUCAAGGGGGUUUCAACUGUAAAACAAAGUAGAAGCCUGAAGACCGAUAGGCGCCAACAGUAGUUAGAUAAUAGUACUUAAAUUGGGGAACCGAUCCCCGUCAAAGCCAAUUUGCAUAGAUCAUAAUUAUCCUCUACUAUCAAAACAUGCGUGUGUUCAUACCCUUGCAUUCUACUUAACUCUAACUAUGCUAUAACAUGACCAGAUCUUCAUUCAUAGAACCAAUCGUAUACUGAACGUUAGGCGUGACAGCGUUUGCACUUGCUUCAAUUUUUCAAAACAGAUUCUACAGUUAUUUGUCUGCCGGCGGGAUAUUAUGAUUGGUUUGACAUUCUGUGAACAUCCUACAAAUGGGAAAGCAAUAUGUCCGAUUUCGACUUCUAAAUAGUGCUAGUUACUUUUCCCCAACAUAGAAAAACGGUUCCAGUUAUG
This 1584-nucleotide long non-coding RNA is filed under the name Varroa destructor (honeybee mite). Its description in RNAcentral is "uncharacterized LOC111255338". The record is from RNAcentral. Lineage: Eukaryota; Metazoa; Arthropoda; Arachnida; Mesostigmata; Varroidae.